This 800-nucleotide long non-coding RNA is filed under the name Apis florea (little honeybee). Its description in RNAcentral is "uncharacterized LOC100865501, transcript variant X1". Lineage: Eukaryota; Metazoa; Arthropoda; Insecta; Hymenoptera; Apidae. The record is from RNAcentral.
GUCGAUGAGACCGCACCGCGAAUCUCCCGAGAACAGUCGCUUCCACGGCCUCGGAGCGGGCGAGUUGUUGAUCCCCUUGGAAAAAAGGAAAACACGCUCUCUUGUUGCGGCGACGAGUGUAAUGGCCACCGUGGGCCUAGGAUAGUAAAGGAGGUGGUUGGGAUUCUUUGAUCAAAACGCUGGCAAUCAACAAACGACUUAUUAGCUAGUUAAGAUCAGUGAAUUUAAUUCGUGUGUGUCGAACUGCCGCUUUUUCAUUUUGAUCAGUGGCUUUUGUCCGGUGAAGAGUGCGUGUACAUCAAGUAGUGCAUCAGUGUACUUAAUGUGUGCCAGCCAUUGUCGAGCGUGCAUCGUAGUGCCGGUCAUCUAAUCAUCGACCACACUGGAUAAUAUUGCUUAUUCGUUUCGUCUAUUGGAUUCUACCUUUUUAAUACACAACGCGUCAACGGUCCGAGGCAAGGAAUAAUUCGGAACAACGACUUUCCUCACUUCCAUGAAAACGGCCUCCUAUUAUUAGGUUACCGUUGAAUACCAGACGACCGCGAUAAGCAAUCCUUAGAAUCAAGAAACAAAAAUCCGAAGAAUCCUUAGAAUCCUUAGAAAACAAGAAGAUGAAAGGGCGAAAGGAAAGAAGCCACGGUCCGUGAGAGCUCGAAGAAAACGAUGAGAAGCGAUUCCGAGAAAAAGACAGACGUGUCUGUGACUGAAAGCAUAUCGUUUCACCGCAAUCAUGCGAUAUGUGUAUAUAUAUAUGUACGAUGUGUACACUGUCGUUACAUAACCUAACCUUAAAUAUUUUU